CGUUACUAACGACGAUAUGCUUUGGGGAGCUGUAAGUAAGCUUUGAUCCAGAGAUUUCCGAAUGGGGAAACCCAGCAUGAGUUAUGUCAUGUUAUCGAUAUGUGAAUACAUAGCAUAUCAGAAGGCACACCCGGAGAACUGAAACAUCUUAGUACCCGGAGGAAGAGAAAGAAAAUUCGAUUCCCUUAGUAGCGGCGAGCGAAACGGGAAGAGCCCAAACCAACAAGCUUGCUUGUUGGGGUUGUAGGACACUCUAUACGGAGUUACAAAGGACGACAUUAGACGAAUCAUCUGGAAAGAUGAAUCAAAGAAGGUAAUAAUCCUGUAGUCGAAAAUGUUGUCUCUCUUGAGUGGAUCCUGAGUACGACGGAGCACGUGAAAUUCCGUCGGAAUCUGGGAGGACCAUCUCCUAAGGCUAAAUACUCUCUAGUGACCGAUAGUGAACCAGUACCGUGAGGGAAAGGUGAAAAGCACCCCGGAAGGGGAGUGAAAUAGAACCUGAAACCGUGUGCUUACAAGUAGUCAGAGCCCGUUAAUGGGUGAUGGCGUGCCUUUUGUAGAAUGAACCGGCGAGUUACGAUUUGAUGCAAGGUUAAGCAGUAAAUGUGGAGCCGUAGCGAAAGCGAGUCUGAAUAGGGCGUUUAGUAUUUGGUCGUAGACCCGAAACCAGGUGAUCUACCCUUGGUCAGGUUGAAGUUCAGGUAACACUGAAUGGAGGACCGAACCGACUUACGUUGAAAAGUGAGCGGAUGAACUGAGGGUAGCGGAGAAAUUCCAAUCGAACCUGGAGAUAGCUGGUUCUCUCCGAAAUAGCUUUAGGGCUAGCCUCAAGUGAUGAUUAUUGGAGGUAGAGCACUGUUUGGACGAGGGGCCCCUCUCGGGUUACCGAAUUCAGACAAACUCCGAAUGCCAAUUAAUUUAACUUGGGAGUCAGAACAUGGGUGAUAAGGUCCGUGUUCGAAAGGGAAACAGCCCAGACCACCAGCUAAGGUCCCAAAAUAUAUGUUAAGUGGAAAAGGAUGUGGCGUUGCCCAGACAACUAGGAUGUUGGCUUAGAAGCAGCCAUCAUUUAAAGAGUGCGUAAUAGCUCACUAGUCGAGUGACACUGCGCCGAAAAUGUACCGGGGCUAAACAUAUUACCGAAGCUGUGGAUUGUCCUUUGGACAAUGGUAGGAGAGCGUUCUAAGGGCGUUGAAGCAUGAUCGUAAGGACAUGUGGAGCGCUUAGAAGUGAGAAUGCCGGUGUGAGUAGCGAAAGACGGGUGAGAAUCCCGUCCACCGAUUGACUAAGGUUUCCAGAGGAAGGCUCGUCCGCUCUGGGUUAGUCGGGUCCUAAGCUGAGGCCGACAGGCGUAGGCGAUGGAUAACAGGUUGAUAUUCCUGUACCACCUAUAAUCGUUUUAAUCGAUGGGGGGACGCAGUAGGAUAGGCGAAGCGUGCGAUUGGAUUGCACGUCUAAGCAGUAAGGCUGAGUAUUAGGCAAAUCCGGUACUCGUUAAGGCUGAGCUGUGAUGGGGAGAAGACAUUGAGUCUUCGAGUCGUUGAUUUCACACUGCCGAGAAAAGCCUCUAGAUAGAAAAUAGGUGCCCGUACCGCAAACCGACACAGGUAGUCAAGAUGAGAAUUCUAAGGUGAGCGAGCGAACUCUCGUUAAGGAACUCGGCAAAAUGACCCCGUAACUUCGGGAGAAGGGGUGCUCUUUAGGGUUAACGCCCAGAAGAGCCGCAGUGAAUAGGCCCAAGCGACUGUUUAUCAAAAACACAGGUCUCUGCUAAACCGUAAGGUGAUGUAUAGGGGCUGACGCCUGCCCGGUGCUGGAAGGUUAAGAGGAGUGGUUAGCUUCUGCGAAGCUACGAAUCGAAGCCCCAGUAAACGGCGGCCGUAACUAUAACGGUCCUAAGGUAGCGAAAUUCCUUGUCGGGUAAGUUCCGACCCGCACGAAAGGCGUAACGAUUUGGGCACUGUCUCAACGAGAGACUCGGUGAAAUCAUAGUACCUGUGAAGAUGCAGGUUACCCGCGACAGGACGGAAAGACCCCGUGGAGCUUUACUGUAGCCUGAUAUUGAAAUUCGGCACAGCUUGUACAGGAUAGGUAGGAGCCUUUGAAACGUGAGCGCUAGCUUACGUGGAGGCGCUGGUGGGAUACUACCCUAGCUGUGUUGGCUUUCUAACCCGCACCACUUAUCGUGGUGGGAGACAGUGUCAAGCGGGCAGUUUGACUGGGGCGGUCGCCUCCUAAAAGGUAACGGAGGCGCUCAAAGGUUCCCUCAGAAUGGUUGGAAAUCAUUCAUAGAGUGUAAAGGCAUAAGGGAGCUUGACUGCGAGACCUACAAGUCGAGCAGGGUCGAAAGACGGACUUAGUGAUCCGGUGGUUCCGCAUGGAAGGGCCAUCGCUCAACGGAUAAAAGCUACCCCGGGGAUAACAGGCUUAUCUCCCCCAAGAGUUCACAUCGACGGGGAGGUUUGGCACCUCGAUGUCGGCUCAUCGCAUCCUGGGGCUGUAGUCGGUCCCAAGGGUUGGGCUGUUCGCCCAUUAAAGCGGUACGCGAGCUGGGUUCAGAACGUCGUGAGACAGUUCGGUCCCUAUCCGUCGUGGGCGUAGGAAAUUUGAGAGGAGCUGUCCUUAGUACGAGAGGACCGGGAUGGACAUACCUCUGGUGUACCAGUUGUCGUGCCAACGGCAUAGCUGGGUAGCUAUGUGUGGACGGGAUAAGUGCUGAAAGCAUCUAAGCAUGAAGCCCCCCUCAAGAUGAGAUUUCCCAACUUCGGUUAUAAGAUCCCUCAAAGAUGAUGAGGUUAAUAGGUUCGAGGUGGAAGCAUGGUGACAUGUGGAGCUGACGAAUACUAAUCGAUCGAAGACUUAAUCAA
This 2867-nucleotide ribosomal RNA is filed under the name Staphylococcus aureus M0722. RNAcentral's name for it is "bacterial LSU rRNA". It matches the Rfam family "Bacterial large subunit ribosomal RNA". Lineage: Bacteria; Bacillati; Bacillota; Bacilli; Caryophanales; Staphylococcaceae. The record is from RNAcentral.